UUGGACCUCARWUCAGGCAAGACCACCCGCUGAGUUUAAGCAUAUCACUAAGCGGAGGAAAAGAAACUAACAAGGAU
Molecule: ribosomal RNA, 77 nt
Filed under: Tuyamaella molischii
Lineage: Eukaryota; Viridiplantae; Streptophyta; Jungermanniopsida; Porellales; Lejeuneaceae
Description: partial 26S large subunit ribosomal RNA
Rfam family: Eukaryotic large subunit ribosomal RNA
Source: RNAcentral